AAAUUGAAGAGUUUGAUCAUGGCUCAGAUUGAACGCUGGCGGCAGGCCUAACACAUGCAAGUCGAGCGGUAGCACAGAGAGCUUGCUCUCGGGUGACGAGCGGCGGACGGGUGAGUAAUGUCUGGGAAACUGCCUGAUGGAGGGGGAUAACUACUGGAAACGGUAGCUAAUACCGCAUAACGUCGCAAGACCAAAGUGGGGGACCUUCGGGCCUCAUGCCAUCAGAUGUGCCCAGAUGGGAUUAGCUAGUAGGUGGGGUAACGGCUCACCUAGGCGACGAUCCCUAGCUGGUCUGAGAGGAUGACCAGCCACACUGGAACUGAGACACGGUCCAGACUCCUACGGGAGGCAGCAGUGGGGAAUAUUGCACAAUGGGCGCAAGCCUGAUGCAGCCAUGCCGCGUGUGUGAAGAAGGCCUUCGGGUUGUAAAGCACUUUCAGCGGGGAGGAAGGCGUUAAGGUUAAUAACUUGGCGAUUGACGUUACCCGCAGAAGAAGCACCGGCUAACUCCGUGCCAGCAGCCGCGGUAAUACGGAGGGUGCAAGCGUUAAUCGGAAUUACUGGGCGUAAAGCGCACGCAGGCGGUCUGUCAAGUCGGAUGUGAAAUCCCCGGGCUCAACCUGGGAACUGCAUUCGAAACUGGCAGGCUAGAGUCUUGUAGAGGGGGGUAGAAUUCCAGGUGUAGCGGUGAAAUGCGUAGAGAUCUGGAGGAAUACCGGUGGCGAAGGCGGCCCCCUGGACAAAGACUGACGCUCAGGUGCGAAAGCGUGGGGAGCAAACAGGAUUAGAUACCCUGGUAGUCCACGCCGUAAACGAUGUCGAUUUGGAGGUUGUGCCCUUGAGGCGUGGCUUCCGGAGCUAACGCGUUAAAUCGACCGCCUGGGGAGUACGGCCGCAAGGUUAAAACUCAAAUGAAUUGACGGGGGCCCGCACAAGCGGUGGAGCAUGUGGUUUAAUUCGAUGCAACGCGAAGAACCUUACCUGGUCUUGACAUCCACAGAACUUUCCAGAGAUGGAUUGGUGCCUUCGGGAACUGUGAGACAGGUGCUGCAUGGCUGUCGUCAGCUCGUGUUGUGAAAUGUUGGGUUAAGUCCCGCAACGAGCGCAACCCUUAUCCUUUGUUGCCAGCGGUCCGGCCGGGAACUCAAAGGAGACUGCCAGUGAUAAACUGGAGGAAGGUGGGGAUGACGUCAAGUCAUCAUGGCCCUUACGACCAGGGCUACACACGUGCUACAAUGGCAUAUACAAAGAGAAGCGACCUCGCGAGAGCAAGCGGACCUCAUAAAGUAUGUCGUAGUCCGGAUUGGAGUCUGCAACUCGACUCCAUGAAGUCGGAAUCGCUAGUAAUCGUAGAUCAGAAUGCUACGGUGAAUACGUUCCCGGGCCUUGUACACACCGCCCGUCACACCAUGGGAGUGGGUUGCAAAAGAAGUAGGUAGCUUAACCUUCGGGAGGGCGCUUACCACUUUGUGAUUCAUGACUGGGGUGAAGUCGUAACAAGGUAACCGUAGGGGAACCUGCGGUUGGAUCACCUCCUUA
This 1539-nucleotide ribosomal RNA is filed under the name Klebsiella pneumoniae. Its description in RNAcentral is "bacterial SSU rRNA". It matches the Rfam family "Bacterial small subunit ribosomal RNA". Lineage: Bacteria; Pseudomonadati; Pseudomonadota; Gammaproteobacteria; Enterobacterales; Enterobacteriaceae. The record is from RNAcentral.